CAGUAGCCUCGGGAAUACAGAGGGUGCGAGCGUUAAUCGGAUUUACUGGGCGUAAAGCGUGCGUAGGCGGCUUCUUAAGUCGGAUGUGAAAUCCCUGAGCUUAACUUAGGAAUUGCAUUCGAUACUGGGAAGCUAGAGUAUGGGAGAGGAUGGUAGAAUUCCAGGUGUAGCGGUGAAAUGCGUAGAGAUCUGGAGGAAUACCGAUGGCGAAGGCAGCCAUCUGGCCUAAUACUGACGCUGAGGUACGAAAGCAUGGGGAGCAAACAGGAUUAGAUACCCCGGUAGUCCCUGUCUCUUAUAA
This 301-nucleotide ribosomal RNA is filed under the name uncultured bacterium. RNAcentral describes it as "partial 16S ribosomal RNA". It matches the Rfam family "Bacterial small subunit ribosomal RNA", at positions 509 to 809 of the family's 1533-position model. The record is from RNAcentral.